This 373-nucleotide ribosomal RNA is filed under the name uncultured bacterium. Its description in RNAcentral is "bacterial SSU rRNA". It matches the Rfam family "Bacterial small subunit ribosomal RNA", at positions 29 to 429 of the family's 1533-position model. The record is from RNAcentral.
AACGAACGCUGGCAGCAUGCUUAACACAUGCAAGUCGAACGAGAUCUUCGGAUCUAGUGGCGCACGGGUGAGUAACGCGUGGGAACCUACCAUUCUGUACGGAAUAACGUUUGGAAACGGACGCUAAUACCGUAUACGCCCUGUGGGGGAAAGGUCCGCCGCAGAAUGAGGGGCCCGCGUCCGAUUAGCUUGUUGGUAGAGUAAUGGCCUACCAAGGCAACGAUCGGUAGCUGGUCUGAGAGGAUGAUCAGCCACACUGGGACUGAGACACGGCCCAGACUCCUACGGGAGGCAGCAGUGGGGAAUAUUGGACAAUGGGGGCAACCCUGAUCCAGCAAUGCCGCGUGUGUGAAGAAGGCCUUAAGGUUGUAAA